CCCAGACUCCUACGGGAGGCAGCAGUGGGGGAUAUUGCACAAUGGGGGGAACCCUGAUGCAGCGACGCCGCGUGGGUGAAGAAGCGCCUCGGCGCGUAAAGCCCUGUCAGCAGGGAAGAAAAUGACGGUACCUGAAGAAGAAGCCCCGGCUAACUACGUGCCAGCAGCCGCGGUAAUACGUAGGGGGCAAGCGUUAUCCGGAUUUACUGGGUGUAAAGGGAGCGUAGACGGCAAUGCAAGCCAGAUGUGAAAGCCCGGGGCUCAACCCCGGGACUGCAUUUGGAACUGUGUAGCUGGAGUGCAGGAGGGGCAGGCGGAAUUCCUGGUGUAGCGGUGAAAUGCGUAGAUAUUAGGAGGAACACCAGUGGCGAAGGCGGCCUGCUGGACGACAACUGACGGUGAGGCGCGAAAGCGUGGGGAGCAAACAGGAUUAGAUACCCGAGUA
RNAcentral lists this ribosomal RNA (445 nucleotides) under uncultured bacterium. Its description in RNAcentral is "partial 16S ribosomal RNA". It matches the Rfam family "Bacterial small subunit ribosomal RNA", at positions 330 to 792 of the family's 1533-position model. The record is from RNAcentral.